This 855-nucleotide ribosomal RNA is filed under the name uncultured bacterium. RNAcentral's name for it is "bacterial SSU rRNA". It matches the Rfam family "Bacterial small subunit ribosomal RNA", at positions 39 to 893 of the family's 1533-position model. The record is from RNAcentral.
GCGGCGCGCCUAACACAUGCAAGUCGAACGGAGAUUACAGGCGGAAGUUUUCGGAUGGAAGCUUGUAAACUUAGUGGCGGACGGGUGAGUAACACGUGAGCAACCUGCCUAUCAGAGGGGGAUAACGAUUGGAAACGAUCGCUAAUACCGCAUGACAUAGCGGAACCGCAUGGUUCUGUUAUCAAAGAUUUUAUCGCUGAUAGAUGGGCUCGCGUCCGAUUAGAUAGUUGGUGGGGUAACGGCCUACCAAGUCGACGAUCGGUAGCCGGACUGAGAGGUCGAACGGCCACAUUGGGACUGAGACACGGCCCAGACUCCUACGGGAGGCAGCAGUGGGGGAUAUUGCACAAUGGGGGAAACCCUGAUGCAGCGACGCCGCGUGAGGGAAGACGGUCCUCUGGAUUGUAAACCUCUGUCUUCGGGGACGAAACGAGACGGUACCCGAGGAGGAAGCCACGGCUAACUACGUGCCAGCAGCCGCGGUAAUACGUAGGUGGCAAGCGUUGUCCGGAAUUACUGGGUGUAAAGGGAGCGUAGGCGGGCAGGCAAGUCAGGCGUGAAAUAUAUCGGCUCAACCGGUAACGGCGCUUGAAACUGCAGGUCUUGAGUGAAGUAGAGGUUGGCGGAAUUCCUAGUGUAGCGGUGAAAUGCGUAGAUAUUAGGAGGAACACCAGUGGCGAAGGCGGCCAACUGGGCUUUUACUGACGCUGAGGCUCGAAAGUGUGGGGAGCAAACAGGAUUAGAUACCCUGGUAGUCCACACCGUAAACGAUGAUUACUAGGUGUGGGGGGACUGACCCCUUCCGUGCCGGAGUUAACACAAUAAGUAAUCCACCUGGGGAGUACGGCCGCAAGG